UGGGGUAUCGUAUAAUGGUAGUACAGCGGUUUCUGGUACCGUAUGUGUGGGUUCGACUCCUGCUACCCCAGCCA
This 74-nucleotide transfer RNA is filed under the name Denitrobacterium detoxificans. RNAcentral describes it as "tRNA-Gln". It matches the Rfam family "tRNA". From Rfam's summary of the family: Transfer RNA (tRNA) molecules are approximately 80 nucleotides in length. Their secondary structure includes four short double-helical elements and three loops (D, anti-codon, and T loops). The record is from RNAcentral. Lineage: Bacteria; Bacillati; Actinomycetota; Coriobacteriia; Eggerthellales; Eggerthellaceae. RNAcentral also lists the same sequence under 4 other names.